Molecule: long non-coding RNA, 456 nt
Organism: Neopelma chrysocephalum (saffron-crested tyrant-manakin)
Lineage: Eukaryota; Metazoa; Chordata; Aves; Passeriformes; Pipridae
Exons: 2
Source: RefSeq, a predicted model, not a curated record
UGCACCCUCGGUGAUCGGCCGGGGACGCAGAGCCGGCUGGGAGAGCUCCGGGUGCUGCUGCCAUCCAGAGGAACCUUCCCGGCCUGGAGAAACGGGCUGCCAGGAACCUCGGAAGGAUCGACAAGGAGGAAAGUCCUGCCCUUGGGGAGGAACAACCCCCGGCACCAGGAUGUGCCAUGGGAACAUGCCAGAGCUGGAGGACCCAGGAGAGCACUGAGUGGUGGAGUAGGAGUGUGGAAUUCAUUGGGAAUUCCUGGAUCGUGUCCAUCCGGGAGCAGAGCCUGCUUAGGGAAGGUCGGGAGAGGGAAGCACUGCCAUGGCUUCCCAACAUCUCCACCACCAUUCCCACCUCCAGGAGCCCAGGAACAGGAUUUGGGAGGGGAAUGAGGCCAGGGAAGAGCUGAUGAGCUGCCGGCACCUUUUCCUGGGUGUCUUCCAAUGAGUUGCAUGGCUGGA